Molecule: ribosomal RNA, 269 nt
Filed under: uncultured bacterium
Lineage: Bacteria
Description: partial 16S ribosomal RNA
Rfam family: Bacterial small subunit ribosomal RNA
Source: RNAcentral
UCGAUGGCGACCGGCGCACGGGUGAGUAACACGUAUCCAACCUGCCGAUGACUCGGGGAUAGCCUUUCGAAAGAAAGAUUAAUACCCGAUGGCAUAGUUCUUCCGCAUGGUGGAGCUAUUAAAGAAUUUCGGUCAUCGAUGGGGAUGCGUUCCAUUAGGUUGUUGGCGGGGUAACGGCCCACCAAGCCUUCGAUGGAUAGGGGUUCUGAGAGGAAGGUCCCCCACAUUGGAACUGAGACACGGUCCAAACUCCUACGGGAGGCAGCAUG